GCGCCCAUAGCUCAACGGAUAGAGCAGUGCUCUUCUAAGGCAUUGAUGGGGGUUCGAUUCCCUCCGGGCGUA
RNAcentral lists this transfer RNA (72 nucleotides) under bacterium. RNAcentral's name for it is "tRNA-Arg". It matches the Rfam family "tRNA". Rfam says of the family: Transfer RNA (tRNA) molecules are approximately 80 nucleotides in length. Their secondary structure includes four short double-helical elements and three loops (D, anti-codon, and T loops). The record is from RNAcentral.